GGUCCUCUAGUAUAUCGGUUAGUACGCAGGAUUCUGAUUCCUUAGAGCCCGGUUCGACUCCGGGGAGGACCU
This is a non-coding RNA of Saitozyma sp. JCM 24511, 72 nucleotides long. The record is from the annotation of a GenBank genome assembly. Lineage: Eukaryota; Fungi; Basidiomycota; Tremellomycetes; Tremellales; Trimorphomycetaceae.